UCAAACCCGUAUCUCUGGUAUAUGAGCAACUAAUCCGACCCAACCAGCACACGGAAAUAUCGACUGGUGCUGUAGAUAAGUCUUUGAUGAUUUAACCGAUUGAAAGCAUAAGCGUAUUUGUUUUUUAGGUAGAGAAAAGCAUAAGCGUAUAUUGUUUAGCAAAAAAAAAAAAAAAAAAAAAAAAGUAUAAAGAGCGUAAUUUAUAUUUUGUAUACCGCUUCCGGUGUCCCGCGUCCCUAUACCAAUACUUCCCGAGGCUGUCGUUUCGGGUUUCGUUGACUCCGUUCAAAAGAUUGAAGCUUUUGUAGCCUGGGCGCAAAAAGACGCAGUUCUACGAACAAUUUCCUGUCCGCCGACACCUCCACCGGGGAAAGAAAAAAUGGUUGGUAGAAGAUGAAGAAAAAAGUUUGUAAUAAAAGGGCUAUGAAGGAAAUAAUUGUGGUGAUAUAUCAGUGGAAGGCUCCAUUCAACACUGUGGAGAUUCAAGGGACACUCUGAUUUUAAAAGAAUGAAUAACAGAGUUCAGGGACACCUCUGAUUAAAAAAUAAAUAAAUAAUAGUACAUAUGGAAUCAAAGUGACAAAUGGUCAAGUUGUUUCACAUGAGAGAGAUUUCAUAUAGUGAAUCAGCUGUUGAUGUCCAGCUGUAGCUUUUAGCUUGCUUGUUAGUACCUUAGUAUUGUACUAUGUAGCUCAUUGGUUACUUUCUUUCAUGGUGCAUAUGGUAUAUAAUGGUGUCCCUUGGUUGUACAGAUUAGAAUUGUAUUCCUUAAGCCUGUUUAAAUUUUAGGUUUCAAAGCUCUCUGAGACUCUCAUUAUGUAAGAUGCUUUAAUUUAUCUAGAAGUAAAAUGGUUAAUGGGAAUAGGAGCACUUGAGUGUCCUUAGUUUGUAGACAUUGAAAUUUUGGAGGCAAGCUUCCUUCCCUUGGUGAUUAGUCUAUCAAUAUCUUAUGCAAGUCUCAAUUUUAUAGAUGU
Long non-coding RNA from Macadamia integrifolia, 974 nucleotides. RefSeq lists it as uncharacterized. The transcript has 2 exons. The record is from RefSeq and is a predicted model, not a curated record. Lineage: Eukaryota; Viridiplantae; Streptophyta; Magnoliopsida; Proteales; Proteaceae.